This is a long non-coding RNA of Carassius carassius (crucian carp), 579 nucleotides long. RefSeq lists it as uncharacterized. The transcript is spliced from 3 exons. The record is from RefSeq and is a predicted model, not a curated record. NCBI's taxonomy places the organism in Eukaryota, Metazoa, Chordata, Actinopteri, Cypriniformes, Cyprinidae.
GUCGUAGCACUUGCUGAAAGCACUCGGCUUUCUGUUUCAUCUGGGAUGAUGUGCUCUCUCCUCUCUCCGUGAAGACAUUCCUGACGGCCGAGUGGCGGCAUAUCUCAGCGAAUACUGGUCUCCUUCACCUCCCAGCCUGACCUGCGUGUGUCCUCCCAGAUCAACAGUCAAUUACAGUCUCUCUCGAGCGCUCGCUCUCUCACUUUUUCCCUCAGAGAAGAAAGGAAGGUUUUGGGCCGGCCGUGGUGCCACUGCCUGGCUAAUUAGAACCAGGAAGGGACUCAGUCUGAAACCUGGGCGUAAACUUUUACGAGCACCCCUGGGGUCACCAGUAAACCCGUUAAUAGAGAUGAGAUAUGAGGGCUCCCAAUGGCCUCCCAUUUUGUUUCUUUUUCAGUUUUUUUGUGUGUUUUUUUGUAUUCUUAAGUAGGAUCAAGUGCUCGUCCAGCUCAGGGUUUCUUAGAGGAGCAGCACCAAACAAAAGCAACUUAAGUUUAACUCGGUCAUGGUAAAAGAGACUGUUAUUUUACUGAGGCAUUUAAAGUAUUUAAUUUUGAUCAAAUAAAUGUGACUUAUUCA